AUUGAACGCUGGCGGCAUGCCUUACACAUGCAAGUCGAACGGCAGCGGACCUUCGGGUGCCGGCGAGUGGCGAACGGGUGAGUAAUAUAUCGGAACGUACCUUUCAGUGGGGGAUAACGUAGCGAAAGUUACGCUAAUACCGCAUAUUCUGUGAGCAGGAAAGCAGGGGAUCGCAAGACCUUGCGCUGAUUGAGCGGCCGAUAUCAGAUUAGCUAGUUGGUGAGGUAAAGGCUCACCAAGGCGACGAUCUGUAGCGGGUCUGAGAGGAUGAUCCGCCACACUGGAACUGAGACACGGUCCAGACUCCUACGGGAGGCAGCAGUGGGGGAAUUUUGGACAAUGGGCGCAAGCCUGAUCCAGCCAUGCCGCGUGAGUGAAGAAGGCCUCCGGGUUGUAAAGCUCUUUCAGCCGGGAAGAAACGCAUGGGUUAAUACCCUGUGUGGAUGACGGUACCGGAAUAAGAAGCACCGGCUAACUACGUGCCAGCA
Molecule: ribosomal RNA, 488 nt
Filed under: uncultured bacterium
Lineage: Bacteria
Description: bacterial SSU rRNA
Rfam family: Bacterial small subunit ribosomal RNA
Source: RNAcentral